GACGAACGCUGGCGGCGUGCUUAACACAUGCCAGUCGAACGGUGAAGCGCCUUCCUUUUUGGUGGGUGUGGAUGAGUGGCGAACGGGUGAGUAACACGUGAGUAACCUGCCCCCUUCUUCUGGAUAACCGCAUGAAAGUGUGGCUAAUACGGGAUAUUCUGGGUCUGUCGCAUGAUGGGUCUGGGAAAGAUAUUGUUUCGGUGGGGGAUGGGCUCGCGGCCUAUCAGCUUGUUGGUGGGGUGAUGGCCUACCAAGGCGGUGACGGGUAGCCGGCCUGAGAGGGUGGACGGUCACACUGGGACUGAGACACGGCCCAGACUCCUACGGGAGGCAGCAGUGGGGAAUAUUGCACAAUGGGCGCAAGCCUGAUGCAGCGACGCCGCGUGAGGGAUGGAGGCCUUCGGGUUGUGAACCUCUUUCGCCAGUGAAGCAGGCCUGCCUCGUUUGUGGGUGGGUGGACGGUAGCUGGAUAAGAAGCGCCGGCUAACUACGU
RNAcentral lists this ribosomal RNA (493 nucleotides) under uncultured bacterium. RNAcentral's name for it is "partial 16S ribosomal RNA". It matches the Rfam family "Bacterial small subunit ribosomal RNA", at positions 28 to 506 of the family's 1533-position model. The record is from RNAcentral.